RNAcentral lists this long non-coding RNA (635 nucleotides) under Neodiprion pinetum (white pine sawfly). RNAcentral's name for it is "uncharacterized LOC124219165". Lineage: Eukaryota; Metazoa; Arthropoda; Insecta; Hymenoptera; Diprionidae. The record is from RNAcentral.
UGUACCAGUGAACAAAACAUUGUAUUAUGUAUUACUAUUCUGUUACCUGUGCACCUUCAGGCUCUGGAUCAAGUAGCACAGUAACCAAGGUGAUGGUACCAAGUUACGAGAUACAUAACACUACAUUUAAGUGAUUCUUUACUACUAUUCAAGACUUAGUUUUUAUUGGUCAACAAUUUCAGCUAAAUUGUGAAAUUUUUGAUGAUGAGCUUCGAAAAUCGAUCGAUGCAAUAACAUGCUUCUGAAAAAUCCCACUGACUUGGUAUUCAAAUGUCAACUUAAAGGCCGAAUUAAGGGAACUAUUAUGACAACAUGUGGGACUCAUGGGAUUAAGAUGGAAUGCAACUCACAAUGAUCUAGACCCUGAUCGACGGCUGCUGGUCACUUCCCCUGGUGUAUGAGACCUCUCCCGGCUACGGCUUCGCAAAUCAUAAUGAUGUUCAGUAGACGCAGUAAAUUUUCGUGGUAUUCGAAAAAAUCUCAGACAUAACAUAAACGUAAGAAAUUACAACACGCUCGGAGUGAAAGGUGUGGAACGGUCUCGGAAAUAUUAAGGAUAUUUCUUAUACUCCGAGGAAGUAGGUACGGUAGGCAGAUGCGUAAGACAUGACUGCAUUCAAACGAAGGGGAAGAAU